AACUGCGAAACGUAAUGUGACCUGCACUCUUCGUGAAUCAUCCAAUCUUUGAACGCACUUUGCACCUCGUGGCUCAUGUCACGAGGUAUACUUGUUUGAGCAUCCGUAACCCUCUCACCUCUCCCUACGGGGCGGUGGACGCUGAGAUUCGACGAGCAGUAUAGCGAGUCGUCUCUUGAAAAUCAUGGCCCGUCUGUGGUAGGUCUCCGUUGGGACCUGACCGACCAUUUGGAUAACGUCCUACAAUUGUCGCGUCAGGGUCCGUGUCAGCGUUGACUGUCCUUGGCCACCCCGAUUCAAGUGGGCACCAGCAGGCUGCUGGUGCCUGUGCGAUCAAUAACCAUUUGCAACUGGAUCUCAAAUCAAGUAAGGAUACCCGCUGAACUUAAGCAUAUCAGUAAGCGGAGGAAAAGAAACUAACAAGGAUUCCCUCAGUAGCGGCGAGCGAAGCGGGAACAGCUCAAAUUUAAAAUCUGGCUCCCGGAUGGGUGUCCGAAUUGUAAUUGAGAGGGUCUCCUUUUGGCGACCUGGGAUGGUCAAAGUUCUCUGGAAAGGGACAACAAAGAGGGUGACAUUCCCGUCUGGAUCAUCUCGGGCCGUCAGGAUAAAGGAGGCUCCAAGAGUCGGAUUGUUUGGGAAUGCAGUCCAAAAUGGGUGGUACAUUUCAUCUAAAGCUAAAUAUUGGCAAGAGACCGAUAGCGAACAAGUACCGUGAGGGAAAGAUGAAAAGAACUUUGAAAAGAGAGUUAAAUAGUACGUGAAAUUGUUAAAAGGGAAACGAUUGAGACCAGUGAUGUCUCAGUCCUUGAGCUUGCCCUCCGGGGCCUGCGUCUGGGCUGUGACAAGUCGACGCUCCUUCUGGCGGGUGGAAAAGACUGGCGGAAAGGUGGCUCCACCUUCGGGUGGCUGCUUUAUAGUCCGUCAGGGAUACAUCCCUCGGGAGGAGAGAGGUAGGGCCGCAAGGCUCACGUCGACG
RNAcentral lists this ribosomal RNA (976 nucleotides) under uncultured fungus. RNAcentral's name for it is "eukaryotic LSU rRNA". The stretch from base 353 to 976 matches the Rfam family "Eukaryotic large subunit ribosomal RNA", at positions 1 to 629 of the family's 3401-position model. The record is from RNAcentral. Lineage: Eukaryota; Fungi.